Molecule: ribosomal RNA, 273 nt
Filed under: uncultured bacterium
Lineage: Bacteria
Description: partial 16S ribosomal RNA
Rfam family: Bacterial small subunit ribosomal RNA
Source: RNAcentral
UACGUAGGUGGCAAGCGUUGUCCGGAAUUAUUGGGCGUAAAGCGCGCGCAGGCGGUCCUUUAAGUCUGAUGUGAAAUCCCACGGCUCAACCGUGGAAGGUCAUUGGAAACUGGGGGACUUGAGUACAGAAGAGGAAAGCGGAAUUCCAAGUGUAGCGGUGAAAUGCGUAGAGAUGUGGAGGAACACCAGUGGCGAAGGCGGCUUUCUGGUCUGUAACUGACGCUGAGGCGCGAAAGCGUGGGGAGCAAACAGGAUUAGAAACCCGUGUAGUCC